This 492-nucleotide ribosomal RNA is filed under the name uncultured bacterium. Its description in RNAcentral is "partial 16S ribosomal RNA". It matches the Rfam family "Bacterial small subunit ribosomal RNA", at positions 29 to 507 of the family's 1533-position model. The record is from RNAcentral.
AGUGAACGCUGGCGGUAGGCCUAACACAUGCAAGUCGAACGGCAGCACAGUAAGAGCUUGCUCUUACGGGUGGCGAGUGGCGGACGGGUGAGGAAUACAUCGGAAUCUACUUUUUCGUGGGGGAUAACGUAGGGAAACUUACGCUAAUACCGCAUACGACCUACGGGUGAAAGCAGUGGAUCUUCGGACCUUGCGUGAUUGAAUGAGCCGAUGUCGGAUUAGCUAGUUGGCGGGGUAAAGGCCCACCAAGGCGACGAUCCGUAGCUGGUCUGAGAGGAUGGGCUGACACACUAGAACUGAGACACGGUACAGACUACUACGGGAGGCAGCAGUGGGGAAUGUUAGACAAUGGACGCAAGCCUGAUCCAGCCAAGCCGCGUCGGUGAAAAAGGCCUUGGGGUUGUAAAGCCCUUCUGUUGGGAAAGAAGAGCAGCAGGUGAAUACCCUGCUGUCCUGACGGUACCCAAUGAAUAAGCACCGGCUAACUUCGUG